RNAcentral lists this ribosomal RNA (402 nucleotides) under uncultured bacterium. RNAcentral's name for it is "bacterial SSU rRNA". It matches the Rfam family "Bacterial small subunit ribosomal RNA", at positions 355 to 774 of the family's 1533-position model. The record is from RNAcentral.
UUGGGAAUCUUGGACAAUGGGGGAAACCCUGAUCCAGCCAUGCCGCGUGAGUGAUGAAGGCCUUAGGGUUGUAAAGCUCUUUCGCACGCGACGAUAAUGACGGUAGCGUGAGAAGAAGCCCCGGCUAACUUCGUGCCAGCAGCCGCGGUAAUACGAAGGGGGCUAGCGUUGUUCGGAAUUACUGGGCGUAAAGCGCGCGCAGGCGGGUCAUCAAGUCAGAGGUGAAAGCCCGGAGCUUAACUCCGGAAUAGCCUUUGAAACUGUUGAUCUUGAGUACGGGAGAGGUUAGUGGAAUUCCCAGUGUAGAGGUGAAAUUCGUAGAUAUUGGGAAGAACACCAGUGGCGAAGGCGGCUCACUGGCCCGUUACUGACGCUCAGGCGCGAUAGCGUGGGGAUCAAACA